Molecule: long non-coding RNA, 351 nt
Organism: Phyllostomus discolor (pale spear-nosed bat)
Lineage: Eukaryota; Metazoa; Chordata; Mammalia; Chiroptera; Phyllostomidae
Exons: 2
Source: RefSeq, a predicted model, not a curated record
GAAAGGAAAAAAUACAUUGAAGAAAGCCACCUGCAAGACACCCACAUAAUAGGCGCUGAGAAGUCUUUACCAGUGAACUUGGACAAUUCAUCACCUGCCCACUAGGUACCACAAAAGUCACAGUCAGAUCUCUAUUAGUCUUCACGUAACUUUCUCAGGUUUGGAAAUUGCCAUGACUAAAAUAGCAGAGCCGUACCAACGUCAGGAGAGUGACCUGUCUACUCAGGUGGAAAUGAUGGUGUCAAGAAAGGUUGACAAUGCUAGGAAUACAUGCAAAACCAACGAAUUGUGCACUUUAAAUGGGCGGAUCGUAUGACGUGUGAAUUAUAUCUCGAUAAACCUGUUACCUGC